Spea bombifrons (plains spadefoot toad) is the source of this 677-nucleotide long non-coding RNA. RefSeq lists it as uncharacterized. The record is from RefSeq and is a predicted model, not a curated record. NCBI's taxonomy places the organism in Eukaryota, Metazoa, Chordata, Amphibia, Anura, Pelobatidae. The transcript has 3 exons.
UGGCAGCAGGAAAUAAAUCGGAUCCAAAUAUUACCAAUGCCGCUGCCAGCGAAGGAGUCCUGGACAGUUUCUUCAACAGUCUCCUGCAUAAAAAGACAGGGUCCCCAGGCAGUCCAGGGGGCCGCCACGCAGAACGCACAAGGAUCAGCCAAAAAAACAGCACAGAAGCCAUCAUCCAGGACGAGCUGGACAGGACGACCCGCCGACAGGACACUGUGUUACGCCUGGUUCUCUGUAGAAGAAGAGUUGGCUGAUCUCCUCGGACGGCUUAAAGCAUAAAAUAAUAACAAACUGAUGUAACCCAGGCGGCUCUGCGCACAGUAGAUACUGUUCACUUUCCUCCCCUGAUCUUCGGACGCGUUGAUUGUUCUGGAUCCCUGCCAAGCGAAGAGUGACUCUAAAUUCUCUACCCCCUUAAAAAUGAGAGAGGUGCUGCGGCAUUGGGAUCACCCCGACCCACCCAAUGUCCCAAUGACAUUCGGAUGCAUAGAAAAUCAACCAUGUUGUUUUGUAGAUUAGCAUUCAGAGGGCUCCCAGGUUCCCUCCAUCAAGAUUGAGGGUGUUUUGUUAUCAGUAUAUAAUUACCUGUUCAUUAAAACCAUUGAUGGACAUAUUAACGCAUAGAAGAAACGUUGCAGAAUUUGGUGAAUAAAUGCUGCGGCAAAUUCAAUUUCCAA